Molecule: ribosomal RNA, 405 nt
Filed under: uncultured bacterium
Lineage: Bacteria
Description: partial 16S ribosomal RNA
Rfam family: Bacterial small subunit ribosomal RNA
Source: RNAcentral
AUUGAACGCUAGCGGUAUGCUUUACACAUGCAAGUCGAACGAGUGGCGGACGGGUGAGUAAUAUAUGGGAACGUGCCCAGUAGAGGGGGAUAAUUACUCGAAAGAGUGGCUAAUAACGCCUACUAUGGGAGCGGCCGAUAUCGGAUUAGCUAGUUGGUGGGGUAAAGGCUCACCAAGGCAACGAUCCGUAGCUGGUCUGAGAGGACGACCAGCCACACUGGGACUGAGCCACGGCCCAGACUCCUACGGGAUGCAAGAGUGGGGAAUUUUUGACAAUGGGGGAAACCCUGAUCCAGCCAUCCCGCGUGGAUUGGAAGGCCUUCGGGUUGUAAAGUACUUUUGGCAGAGAAGCGGUACCUUCAGAAUAAGCACCGGCUAACUACGUGCCAGCAGCCGCGGUAAUAC